AAAGUCGUAACAAGGUUUCCGUAGGUGAACCUGCGGAAGGAUCAUUAACACUUUCAUUUUAUUGAAAAUUUAUUUUUCAAUAAUUUAAUUACCCACAUUUUUGGAUGAAUUAUUUCUUUUUUAUUCUUUUUUAAAUUUUAAACCCAAAUACCAUAUUAUUUCUAACAUUUAUACAAAAAAGUUUAAGAAAAACAUAAAAAACAACUCUUAACAACGGAUAUCUAGGCUCUC
RNAcentral lists this unclassified non-coding RNA (231 nucleotides) under fungal sp. RNAcentral's name for it is "partial internal transcribed spacer region". The stretch from base 1 to 47 matches the Rfam family "Eukaryotic small subunit ribosomal RNA", at positions 1785 to 1831 of the family's 1831-position model. The record is from RNAcentral. Lineage: Eukaryota; Fungi.